Long non-coding RNA from Oncorhynchus tshawytscha (Chinook salmon), 698 nucleotides. RefSeq lists it as uncharacterized. The transcript has 3 exons. The record is from RefSeq and is a predicted model, not a curated record. NCBI's taxonomy places the organism in Eukaryota, Metazoa, Chordata, Actinopteri, Salmoniformes, Salmonidae.
UAUAUAUGAUGAAGAAUAUAUAUAGACAACAUUGAUUUUAGCAUUGGCAAAUUGGCUUAGUCUCGUAAUGAGGAGCCUAUAAAACGUAGCUAGAUUCAUAGACAUAUUUUUGGGCAUUCUAAAAUGUAUUGGAAUAAAUGACCAAACAUGGACAAUUUUGACAAUUUCUUCACUUAUUGGCGAACAAGUUGCUUGCAAAAAAAAAACAAGUCUUGCUGGCACCAUGAACAAAGUGGGAUGAGAGAUCCCACCUUCUGCGCAAAAGAAAACCGGAUACUAUUACGCACUACAACCAAACAAAGGCCCACCCCUCUCCCCCAUCUCAUCGACAGCCAACCAGUCUGAAGGUUCGACCUCGGGGCAGGGGAUUCCAGUACCUGGUUGACUGGGAGGGUUAUGGCCUGGAGGAAAGGUGCUGGGUCUCCGCUAGGGACAUCCUGGACCCAGGCCUCAUCUCUGAAUUCCAACGCCGACACCCUGCUCAACCAGGCUGUCUUAAUGAGCUGCUGUUAUACAGAACAGGACCUAUCAGAGGAGACCGAAGAACUAUCACUGGAUUCUCCCUGAACAAUGAGGCCAGGCCUUAAUGAUCUAAUCAAAGGACCUGCUCUCAAAUGGGCACAACGGAUGGUAGAGGGACAUGGAUGGAGGGAGACAGAAUGAGAGAGAGGGACAGGGAGAGGGAGAGAAAGAGAGAG